Molecule: ribosomal RNA, 470 nt
Filed under: uncultured bacterium
Lineage: Bacteria
Description: bacterial SSU rRNA
Rfam family: Bacterial small subunit ribosomal RNA
Source: RNAcentral
GGCCUACGGGUGGCAUCAGUGGGGAAUAUUGGACAAUGGGCGCAAGCCUGAUCCAGCCAUACCGCGUGGGUGAAGAAGGCCUUCGGGUUGUAAAGCCCUUUUGUUGGGAAAGAAAUCCAGCUGGCUAAUACCCGGUUGGGAUGACGGUACCCAAAGAAUAAGCACCGGCUAACUUCGUGCCAGCAGCCGCGGUAAUACGAAGGGUGCAAGCGUUACUCGGAAUUACUGGGCGUAAAGCGUGCGUAGGUGGUUAUUUAAGUCCGUUGUGAAAGCCCUGGGCUCAACCUGGGAACUGCAGUUGAUACUGGAUGACUAGAAUGUGGUAGAGGGUAGCGGAAUUCCUGGUGUAGCAGUGAAAUGCGUAGAGAUCAGGAGGAACAUCCAUGGCGAAGGCAGCUACCUGGACCAACAUUGACACUGAGGCACGAAAGCGUGGGGAGCAAACAGGAUUAGAUACCCGGGUAGUCCCC